AACGAACGCUGGCGGCAUGCUUAACGCAUGCAAGUCGAACGGUCUUAUGGGGCUUGCUCCAUAAGAUAGUGGCAGACGGGUGAGUAACACGUGGGAACGUACCCUAAGGUUCGGAAUAACAGUUGGAAACGACUGAUAAUACCGGAUAUCCCCGAGAGGAGAAAGGUUUACCGCCUUGGGAGCGGCCCGCGUCGGAUUAGGUAGUUGGUGAGGUAAAGGCUCACCAAGCCGAUGAUCAGUAGCUGGUUUGAGAGAAUGAUCAGCCACACUGGGACUGAGACACGGCCCAGACUCCUACGGGAGGCAGCAGUGGGGAAUAUUGGACAAUGGGGGAAACCCUGAUCCAGCAAUGCCGCGUGAGUGAAGAAGGCCUUCGGGUUGUAAAGCUCUUUUGUCCGUGACGAUAAUGACGGUAGCGGACGAAUAAGCACCGGCUAACUUCGUGCCAGCAGCCGCCGUAA
This 461-nucleotide ribosomal RNA is filed under the name uncultured bacterium. Its description in RNAcentral is "partial 16S ribosomal RNA". It matches the Rfam family "Bacterial small subunit ribosomal RNA", at positions 29 to 523 of the family's 1533-position model. The record is from RNAcentral.